Molecule: long non-coding RNA, 376 nt
Organism: Nerophis ophidion (straightnose pipefish)
Lineage: Eukaryota; Metazoa; Chordata; Actinopteri; Syngnathiformes; Syngnathidae
Exons: 3
Source: RefSeq, a predicted model, not a curated record
GGAAAUGAAGGUCCUGACUGUAAAGGAUGGCCAUUUUUGUCUGGUUUGACAUGGUUUUGUUUUUUUAUGAAAGUCCAAAAUUAAAAGAAAAGACGGGAUUUUCGGUUACGAGAUCUGUCGACUGGCGAGGAUGAAGUUGUACAUACAGAAGACGUCGGUUGACAUUCAGAGAUGAGGUCUAUGGAAGUAUAUAACCAAGAGCUCUCUUGAAAGACAAUUAUAAAGGUGUGUGAUGGCCACGCCGUAAACAAGACGUCACGGAGGACGACAACAGGAACAAUAAACAGGUGCACAAAGUUUCAUAUUAUCAACAACAAUAAUAAUAAUAAUUAUAAGUUAGAGAAUAACUUUAGUUGAAUGACUUACUCUAACUGCA